UGGGGGAUAUUGCACAAUGGGCGAAAGCCUGAUGCAGCGACGCCGCGUGGGGGAUGAAGGCUUUCGGGUUGUAAACCUCUUUCGCUAUCGAACAAGGCCCGCUUAGGGUGGGUUGAGGGUAGGUGGAGAAGAAGCGCCGGCUAACUACGUGCCAGCAGCCGCGGUAAUACGUAGGGCGCGAGCGUUGUCCGGAAUUAUUGGGCGUAAAGGGCUUGUAGGCGGCUUGUUGCGCCUGCUGUGAAAACGCGGGGCUUAACUUCGCGCGUGCAGUGGGUACGGGCAGGCUUGAGUGUGGUAGGGGUGACUGGAAUUCCAGGUGUAGCGGUGGAAUGCGCAGAUAUCUGGAGGAACACCGAUGGCUAAGGCAGGUCACUGGGCCAUUACUGACGCUGAGGAGCGAAAGCAUGGGUAGCGAACAGG
This 420-nucleotide ribosomal RNA is filed under the name bacterium. Its description in RNAcentral is "partial 16S ribosomal RNA". It matches the Rfam family "Bacterial small subunit ribosomal RNA", at positions 355 to 776 of the family's 1533-position model. The record is from RNAcentral.